This 746-nucleotide ribosomal RNA is filed under the name uncultured bacterium. RNAcentral describes it as "bacterial SSU rRNA". It matches the Rfam family "Bacterial small subunit ribosomal RNA", at positions 167 to 925 of the family's 1533-position model. The record is from RNAcentral.
UACCGGAUAACACUUACCUCCUCCUGGGGGUUGGUUAAAAGCUCCGGCGGUGAAGGAUGAGCCCGCGGCCUAUCAGCUUGUUGGUGGGGUAAUGGCCUACCAAGGCGACGACGGGUAGCCGGCCUGAGAGGGCGACCGGCCACACUGGGACUGAGACACGGCCCAGACUCCUACGGGAGGCAGCAGUGGGGAAUAUUGCACAAUGGGCGAAAGCCUGAUGCAGCGACGCCGCGUGAGGGAUGACGGCCUUCGGGUUGUAAACCUCUUUCAGCAGGGAAGAAGCGCAAGUGACGGUACCUGCAGAAGAAGCACCGGCUAACUACGUGCCAGCAGCCGCGGUAAUACGUAGGGUGCGAGCGUUGUCCGGAAUUAUUGGGCGUAAAGAGCUCGUAGGCGGUCUGUCACGUCGGAUGUGAAAGCCCGGGGCUUAACCCCGGGUCUGCAUUCGAUACGGGCAGACUAGAGUGUGGUAGGGGAGAUCGGAAUUCCUGGUGUAGCGGUGAAAUGCGCAGAUAUCAGGAGGAACACCGGUGGCGAAGGCGGAUCUCUGGGCCAUUACUGACGCUGAGGAGCGAAAGCGUGGGGAGCGAACAGGAUUAGAUACCCUGGUAGUCCACGCCGUAAACGUUGGGAACUAGGUGUUGGCGACAUUCCACGUCGUCGGUGCCGCAGCUAACGCAUUAAGUUCCCCGCCUGGGGAGUACGGCCGCAAGGCUAAAACUCAAAGGAAUUGACGGAAUCGAAUU